This 366-nucleotide unclassified non-coding RNA is filed under the name Hevea brasiliensis (rubber tree). The record is from RNAcentral. Lineage: Eukaryota; Viridiplantae; Streptophyta; Magnoliopsida; Malpighiales; Euphorbiaceae.
UGGACUGUGGUGAGCAGAAAGCAGGGUUGAAGCAUGCCGCUAAGGUGAAGGAUCCUUCGAGCUCGAGGGUUCUGGAUUUGUGGACGACUGCACCUGGCAUGCAGUUUUACACUGCCAAUUAUGUCAAUGGUGUUGUGGGUAAAGGGGGUGCUGUGUAUGGAAAACAGUCUGCACUUUGCUUGGAGACUCAGGGGUUUCCGAAUGCCAUUAAUCAGCCAAAUUUUCCGUCCAUCGUGGUGCGCCCUGGAGAGAAGUAUAAUCACACUAUGCUGUUUGAGUUCUUGGCCGAGUGACUGUGAAGGAAGGUGUAAGUAACACUGAGAAUAAUGCCAGAGGGUUUGGCACACAAAUUUCGGAUUUUUUUAA